RNAcentral lists this ribosomal RNA (274 nucleotides) under uncultured bacterium. RNAcentral's name for it is "partial 16S ribosomal RNA". It matches the Rfam family "Bacterial small subunit ribosomal RNA", at positions 523 to 796 of the family's 1533-position model. The record is from RNAcentral.
AUACGAAAGGUGCAAGCGUUGUUCGGAUUUACUGGGCGUAAAGAGAUCGUAGGUGGUUUGUUAAGUCGGAUGUGAAAUCCCGGGGCUCAACCCCGGAACUGCAUUCGAUACUGGCAGACUAGAGUUUGGGAGGGGUAAGCGGAAUUCCGUGUGUAGCAGUGAAAUGCGUAGAUAUACGGAGGAACACCUGAGGCGAAGGCGGCUUACUGGACCAAUACUGACACUGAGGAUCGAAAGCGUGGGGAGCGAACAGGAUUAGAAACCCUAGUAGUCC